Molecule: non-coding RNA, 29 nt
Filed under: Homo sapiens (human)
Lineage: Eukaryota; Metazoa; Chordata; Mammalia; Primates; Hominidae
Source: RNAcentral
UGACAAGUGAAGGGUGAACAAAAUGAAGA